GGAAGCGUGCCCGAGACUCAAGGAGUACUUUGAUAGAGUACCACACAGAGAUUAGCCCCUCUCCCUUCCU
Molecule: transfer RNA, 70 nt
Filed under: Cyrtodactylus auribalteatus (Golden-belted bent-toed gecko)
Lineage: Eukaryota; Metazoa; Chordata; Lepidosauria; Squamata; Gekkonidae
Description: tRNA Ile
Source: RNAcentral